CGAAAUAUUAAAAAUGAUGGCUGCUAUAAUUGACUAAAUGGAGAGGAUUGUCUCCCAUAUCAGCUAUAUAUAGAGGAUGCUAUUGAGAGCUGAGAGGUGUGUAUGAAAUAGAGAGAAACACCGUGAGAGAGUUAGAGAGAGAGUUGAGUAGAGAAGAAUUUUCUCCUCCUCCUUGUUUUAUUAUUUGUAUUGUUUCUAAGCAAGAUUAAUACAAACCAGUAGCUCCGUGGAGUAGGCAAGUUGCCGAACCACGUAAAUUUGUGUGUGUUUAAUUUCUGAAAUAUCCUAACAUUUGUCUCCUCACAUAAACAGUUUGCAAAUAUCCUCAUAAGAGGUUAAGUGCCCCUCUAUUCUUACUCAUUGCUGCAAUCUCAGACUUGUCUAAUCUUGAGGGGGAUGUUAGAGUACAGUGCGCAGAAUGAUGAUAAAUGUAAUCUUGAUUAAUAAAUCUGUUAGUUAGUUAGAAAAAUUAGUUAUAUGCAGCUAAGUUAUAACUAACUAACUACAGAAACAGUAAGAAUUGAAUAACAGAAAAGAAAAAGAUUAACAAGUUUUUUCAUUUUCUCUCGUCUCUCACUGAACCUCUCUGUAUAUACAACAAUAGAUACACGUUAACACACGGCUACUCUUACGAGCUUCCGAUCAUAAGGCACUACUCAUGAAAUGUAUUGAUCUUUGAACGCUAUAGCUUCGAAAUAUGUUCUCUUUAUUGCUCUCUAUAUGACUCUCAUUCCUUGAGUUUACAAAUGAGGGAGAGACUCCUUAUAUACUAGCUAUGAGGCGGUGAGAUAGAAUAGCUUCAGGAUUAAGAGAUAGAAUAAAGAAAAGAACCGGGUGCUUCUUUGGGCCCCAUCGUCAUUCUUUUUCCUUUUCUAUUCUUUCCUUAGGCUAGAGGGGAUUCUAAAAGCUCACGAAAGAAAAGAUAGUGGGGGACAGCUUUAUCUACAGCUGUCCUAAAGUUAAUAUUCUACAUUCUUGCCUUAAUGUUUAAGGCUUUACAUUUUGGUAGCUUUGCUAACUUCUUUGAUAAUCUCUUGCUCUUCUUCUUGCACUUGGGUAUACCAAUCUUUUUUAGGUGCUGAUGAAGAAGAGGCUUUGCCUGCUGUAGCUGGAACGAAGUCUUCCUUGUUGAGAGUGAAGCUUCCAUCUUCGUAGAUAGGAUUUGGCGUUUCGCCCCCGGCUUCGUUGUUCUCCGUCUGAUCUUUGUCAAUGGGAGGAAGGUCGUCUUCUGGUAAGUCGAUGAGGUUUCUCAUCUCCUUAAGAUCAUUGUCGCUGAGAUCAUAUCGUCUGUGGAUAUAUUGUCUUAGGACUUGAUCUUGCAUGUAGGGAAAGACCUUAACUCUGUGGAGGAUGUCUGACGUUUGUUGCUCGAUUUUGAUGAGCGAGAAUUCGAUCUGUUUAGACCGAACAACUUCUUCCUUAACUUGGAGCAUUGGCUUUGGCUGCUGCAUCAAGUUAACUGCCUGCUGUUGUUGCUGAGGAGCCGUCUUCAAUGUGUUGAUCUGGGCUUCUAGCAUCAUGAUUUGCUCAUGCAACGCCAGAAUUUGUUCAUCUUUGUUAUCGAUUUGUCCGCUAACUUCGGCUAGCUGGGACCUAUAAGUCUUGCAAUUUGAGCAUGUUGAUGUGCUAGAGCUGGCUUCCUGUGGAGGAGGGUUAUCAAACUGAUUUUUGAUAGCCGGACUAACAAAGAACGAAUGUCCUUUGAAGUGUCGGUGAGCAGCAUCUUUGGCUUCUCCGAUGGUUGUGUACUUUUUACACAAUGGUUGAACUCCUGGAUGAUAAUUGUAUUUUAGGACUUCAGACCAUGAGGAAUAAAUUCCGGGCUUAUUGCCUGAGGUGACCAUAUAGAUCAUUUUUUCCUCUUUUUCCUGCACAAAAUAUUUUGUUAGUCCUGCCAUAGUGGCUGUAACACAUGUUUCUGUUUGAAUGAAUACCAAAGAUUAUCAAGGAUAAUCUUUUCGACUUUUGUCGGGCUAUUGCCUUCUGGUACUUGAUAUUCAAGUCCACAAUCUUGUAGGUUGAACAAUUCGGAUGUUCCGAUUGUUAUCUUCUUAGAUGCUUCAAAAACAUAUUGUUCUUGAUCUUCCUCGAAGCGAGGGCCGAGAUAAGGGGAUAUUCCUCUUCCUCGUCCUCUGGCUAUGGCCGGUUUAUUGCGCUGUGGCGCUGAUCUUUUGAUCUGAAAUAUUCCCUGUUGGGAUUGCAUUUUUCUCUCUCUUUCUAUAGGUGCUAAUGCACAAUAUUUAUAUAUUUAUAUAUUGGUAAUCCCUAUUGGGACCUUUAGGUUUUCUGGGUAGUGAGUGAGCGUUUCUUGCCAUGUUUGAGGAAUGUUUUGUUUUGUGGAGGUGAGUGAAGAGUGGUGUGAGAGGUUUGCUUAUAUAGCGAGAUAAGGUGUCGGCUAUGCCGUUUUCCUUACCCUCUAAGUAUUCAAAGUGAAUACGAUA
This 2441-nucleotide long non-coding RNA is filed under the name Populus trichocarpa (black cottonwood). RNAcentral's name for it is "long non-coding RNA (PTRI_LNC004146)". Lineage: Eukaryota; Viridiplantae; Streptophyta; Magnoliopsida; Malpighiales; Salicaceae. The record is from RNAcentral.